This 828-nucleotide ribosomal RNA is filed under the name uncultured bacterium. RNAcentral describes it as "bacterial SSU rRNA". It matches the Rfam family "Bacterial small subunit ribosomal RNA", at positions 8 to 829 of the family's 1533-position model. The record is from RNAcentral.
AGAGUUUGAUCCUGGCUCAGAUUGAACGCUGGCGGCAGGCCUAACACAUGCAAGUCGAGCGGAAACGAUGGAGCUUGCUCCAGGCGCCGAGCGGCGGACGGGUGAGUAAUGCAUAGGAAUCUGCCCGGUAGUGGGGGAUAACCUGGGGAAACCCAGGCUAAUACCGCAUACGUCCUACGGGAGAAAGCAGGGGAUCUUCGGACCUUGCGCUAUCGGAUGAGCCUAUGUCGGAUUAGCUAGUUGGUGAGGUAAUGGCUCACCAAGGCGACGAUCCGUAGCUGGUCUGAGAGGAUGAUCAGCCACAUCGGGACUGAGACACGGCCCGAACUCCUACGGGAGGCAGCAGUGGGGAAUAUUGGACAAUGGGCGCAAGCCUGAUCCAGCCAUGCCGCGUGUGUGAAGAAGGCUUUCGGGUUGUAAAGCACUUUCAGUGAGGAAGAACGCCUUGGGGCUAAUACCCCCGAGGAAAGACAUCACUCACAGAAGAAGCACCGGCUAACUCCGUGCCAGCAGCCGCGGUAAUACGGAGGGUGCGAGCGUUAAUCGGAAUUACUGGGCGUAAAGCGCGCGUAGGCGGCGUGAUAAGCCGGUUGUGAAAGCCCCGGGCUCAACCUGGGAACGGCAUCCGGAACUGUCAGGCUAGAGUGCAGGAGAGGAAGGUGGAAUUCCCGGUGUAGCGGUGAAAUGCGUAGAGAUCGGGAGGAAUACCAGUGGCGAAGGCGGCCUUCUGGACUGACACUGACGCUGANGUGCGAAAGCGUGGGUAGCAAACAGGAUUAGAUACCCUGGUAGUCCACGCCGUAAACGAUGUCNACUAGCCGUUAGGGU